GCGGGGGUAGAGCACUGACUGGUCUAGGGCCCCUGCCGGGGUACCGAAGCCUGUCAAACUCCGAAUACCGCGCACGUCAGUCGGGGAGUGAGACUGUGGGGGCUAAGCUUCACAGUCGAAAGGGAAACAGCCCAGACCGCCGAAAAAGGCCCCAAAACGACGCUAAGUCACUAAGGAUGUGGGGUUUCGAAGACAGCCAGGAUGUUGGCUUAGAGGCAGCCACCAUUUAAACAGUGCGUAACAGCUGACUGGUCGAGAGAUCCCGCGCCGAAAAUGAUCGGGAGUCAAGCGUCGUGCCGAAUUCGCGGAUCGAGAGAUGGUAGAGGAGCGUAGAACGACGGGACGAAGCGGUGCGCGGAAGCGGCCGUGGACUUCGUUCUAGUGAUUAUGCGGACAUGAGUAACGAAAAAUAGGGUGAGAAUCCCUAUCGCCGGAAUCCCAAGGUUUCCCGGGGCAGGUUCGUCCGCCCGGGGUUAGUCGGAACCUAAGGAGAGGCCGACAGGCGUAUCCGAUGGACAGAGGGUUAAUAUUCCCUCACUUCCGGUGAGAGUUUGACCGAUGGGGAGCGCGGAAAGCUAAGGGGAAGGGCCGAUGGACGCCCUUUCAAGUGCGUAGGGUGGCGUGCAGGCAAAUCCGCACGCCGUCAGCCUGAAACAUGGACGAGCGGGAUGGCGACAUCCUGCAAGCCCCCGAUGCUCUGCCGCCUAGAAAAACCCCUAGGGAUCGAGCCGGAAUCCGUACCUAAACCGACACAGGUGGGAGGGUACCAGUAUACCAAGGCGCGCGAGAGAAACCUCGUUAAGGAACUCGGCAAUCUAGCCCCGUAACUUCGGGAGAAGGGGUCCCCCGCGAGGGGGCGCAGUGAACGGGCCCAUGCGACUGUUUAACAAAAACACAGCACUCUGCAAAAGCGCGAGCUGACGUAUAGAGUGUGACACGUGACCAAUGCGGAAAGGUCAAGGUGAGGGGUCAGCCGCAAGGCGAAGCUCCGAGCCAAAGCCCCCGUGAAUGUCGGCCGUAACUAUAACGGUCCUAAGGUAGCGAAAUUCCUUGUCGGGUAAGUUCCGACCUGCACGAAUCGUGUAACGCUGUGGGCACUGUCUCAACGAGGAUCUCGGUGAAGUUGUAAUGCCGGUGAAAAUGCCGGAUUCCCGCAGAAGGACGGAAAGACCCUGUGAACCUUUACUGUAAUCUGGUACUGGAUUCUGGUCACUUAUGUGUAGCAUAGCCGGGAGCCUUGGAAGCCCCCUCGUCAGGGGGGGCGGAGGCGCCAGUGAAAUACCGGUCUUAAGUGGGCGGACUUCUAACCGCGAGCCGUUAUCCGGCCGCGGGACAAUGCCAGAGGGUCAGUUUGACUGGGGCGGUUUCCUCCCAAACGGUAACGGAGGAGUUCGAAGGUACACUCAGCACGGUCGGCAAUCGUGCGUCGAGCGCAAGGGUAGAAGUGUGCUUAACUGCGAGAGGGACACCUCGAGCAGAUGCGAAAGCAGGACCUAGUGAUCCGGCGGUAGCUCGUGGUAGCGCCGUCGCUCAACGGAUAAAAGGUACUCCGGGGAUAACAGGCUGAUCGCUGCCGAGAGUUCACAUCGACGCAGCGGUUUGGCACCUCGAUGUCGGCUCAUCGCAUCCUGGGGCUGGAGAAGGUCCCAAGGGUUUGGCUGUUCGCCAAUUAAAGCGGUACGCGAGCUGGGUUCAGAACGUCGUGAGACAGUUCGGUCCUUAUCCUCUGCGGGCGCAGGAGAAUUGAAGGGAACAUUCCCUAGUACGAGAGGACCGGGAAUGACUGGCCUAUGGUGUUCCGGUUGUCGCGCCAGCGGCACCGCCGGGUAGCCAAGCCGGGAACGGAUAAGCGCUGAAAGCAUCUAAGCGCCAAGCCUCCCCUAAGACAAGUUCUCCCGGGCGAAAGCCCCCAAAGGCCGGUCGUAGACCACGACCUUGAUAGGGCGGACGUGCAAGCGCGGCGACGCGCUCAGCGGACCGCUACUAAUCGGCCGGGCGGUUUGGCC
Molecule: ribosomal RNA, 2006 nt
Filed under: bioreactor sludge metagenome
Description: bacterial LSU rRNA
Rfam family: Bacterial large subunit ribosomal RNA
Source: RNAcentral